Molecule: ribosomal RNA, 495 nt
Filed under: uncultured bacterium
Lineage: Bacteria
Description: partial 16S ribosomal RNA
Rfam family: Bacterial small subunit ribosomal RNA
Source: RNAcentral
GACGAACGCUGGCGGCGUGCCUAAUACAUGCAAGUAGAACGCUGAAGGAGGAGCUUGCUUCUCUGGAUGAGUUGCGAACGGGUGAGUAACGCGUAGGUAACCUGCCUGGUAGCGGGGGAUAACUAUUGGAAACGAUAGCUAAUACCGCAUAAGAUUGACUAUUGCAUGAUAGUCAGUUAAAAGGUGCAAUUGCAUCACUACCUGAUGGACCUGCGUUGUAUUAGCUAGUUGGUGGGGUAACGGCUCACCAAGGCGACGAUACAUAGCCGACCUGAGAGGGGGAUCGGCCACACUGGGACUGAGACACGGCCCAGACUCCUACGGGAGGCAGCAGUAGGGAAUCUUCGGCAAUGGACGGAAGUCUGACCGAGCAACGCCGCGUGAGUGAAGAAGGUUUUCGGAUCGUAAAGCUCUGUUGUAAGAGAAGAACGAGUGUGAGAGUGGAAAGUUCACACUGUGACGGUAUCUUACCAGAAAGGGACGGCUAACUACGUG